AGAUGGUCGGAUGGCCGCUGGUGGACCUGGCUUUGCUUGGUGCCACUGGAGGAAAGUCCGGGCUCCACGGAAACACGGUGCCGGGUAACACCCGGCGGGGGCGACCCUAGGGAAAGUGCCACAGAAAGCAAACCGCCUGGCCGAUGAUUACGAUCAUUCGCUCGGUAAGGAUGAAAGGGUGCGGUAAGAGCGCACCGCAGCACCGGCAACGGCGCUGGCAUGGUAAACCCCACCGGGAGCAAGACCAUGUAGGGACGGCCGGCACGAUGCAUUGCUUUUGUGUUGCAGGCGUGCGAGCGGGUUUUCGCGUCAGUCGUCCGGGUCGGUCGCGUGAGGCGGUUGGUAACAAUCGUCCCAGAGGAAUGGCCAUCAAUGGCGAGGCAACUCGCCGGAACAGAACCCGGCUUACAGACUAUCUGAU
RNAcentral lists this RNase P RNA (421 nucleotides) under marine eukaryotic metagenome. Its description in RNAcentral is "Bacterial RNase P class A". It matches the Rfam family "Bacterial RNase P class A". From Rfam's summary of the family: Ribonuclease P (RNase P) is a ubiquitous endoribonuclease, found in archaea, bacteria and eukarya as well as chloroplasts and mitochondria. Its best characterised activity is the generation of mature 5'-ends of tRNAs by cleaving the 5'-leader elements of precursor-tRNAs. Cellular RNase Ps are ribonucleoproteins. The record is from RNAcentral.